RNAcentral lists this ribosomal RNA (1324 nucleotides) under metagenome. RNAcentral's name for it is "bacterial LSU rRNA". It matches the Rfam family "Bacterial large subunit ribosomal RNA", at positions 1610 to 2925 of the family's 2925-position model. The record is from RNAcentral.
AGGAAAAGCCACUAAGCUUCAGCUACACACGACCGUACCGCAAACCGACACUGGUGCGCGAGAUGAGUAUUCUAAGGCGCUUGAGAGAACUCGGGAGAAGGAACUCGGCAAAUUGACACCGUAACUUCGGAAGAAGAUGUGCCUUUAGUAGGUGAACCUGUACAAGGGGAGCCCAAUGAGGUUGCAAAAAAUCGGUGGCUGCGACUGUUUAAUAAAAACACAGCACUCUGCAAACACGAAAGUGGACGUAUAGGGUGUGACGCCUGCCCGGUGCUGGAAGAUUAAAUGAUGGGGUGCAAGCUCUUGAUUGAAGUCCCAGUAAACGGCGGCCGUAACUAUAACGGUCCUAAGGUAGCGAAAUUCCUUGUCGGGUAAGUUCCGACCUGCACGAAUGGCGUAACGAUGGCCACACUGUCUCCUCCCGAGACUCAGCGAAGUUGAAAUGUUUGUGAUGAUGCAAUCUCCCCGCGGAAAGACGGAAAGACCCCAUGAACCUUUACUGUAGCUUUGUAUUGGACUUUGAACAGAUCUGUGUAGGAUAGGUGGGAGGCUUUGAAGCAGGGUCGCUAGAUCUUGCGGAGCCAACGUUGAAAUACCACCCUGGUGUGUUUGAGGUUCUAACCUAGGCCCGUAAUCCGGGUCGGGGACAGUGCAUGGUAGGCAGUUUGACUGGGGCGGUCUCCUCCCAAAGCGUAACGGAGGAGUUCGAAGGUACGCUAGUUACGGUCGGACAUCGUGACGAUAGUGCAAUGGCAUAAGCGUGCUUAACUGCGAGACUGACAAGUCGAGCAGAUGCGAAAGCAGGACAUAGUGAUCCGGUGGUUCUGUAUGGAAGGGCCAUCGCUCAACGGAUAAAAGGUACUCUGGGGAUAACAGGCUGAUACCGCCCAAGAGUUCAUAUCGACGGCGGUGUUUGGCACCUCGAUGUCGGCUCAUCUCAUCCUGGGGCUGUAGCCGAUCCCAAGGGUAUGGCUGUUCGCCAUUUAAAGAGGUACGUGAGCUGGGUUUAAAACGUCGUAGACAGUUUGGUCCCUAUCUUCCGUGGGCGCUGCAGAUUUGAAGAAGCCUGCUCCUAGUACGAGAGGACCGGAGUGGACGCACCUCUGGUGUAUCGGUUGUCACGCCAGUGGCAUUGCCGAGUAGCUAUGUGCGGAAGAGAUAACCGCUGAAAGCAUCUAAGCGGGAAACUCGUUCUAAGAUGAGAUCUGCCGGGGCCUUGAGCCCCCUGAAGAGUCGUUCAAGACCAGGACGUUGAUAGGUCAGGUGUGGAAGCGCAGUAAUGCGUUAAGCUAACUGAUACUAAUUGCUCGUGCGGCUUGACCCU